UAUACUUUAGAUGCACGCAAGCGGCUCGCAAUGGGCCUCUCUCUUACGACGCCCGCCGUUCUCCGGCGGCCUACCGAGACGCUGCAAAUUCGGAUCGAGCGACUCUUGCCCCUCUCGGCUCAGCCAGAUAAAUUAGAACCAAUGGCUAUCCUGGCUACAAUGACGAUCUGGAAUGAGCUCCCCCCAGAGAUACGGAGGAUUCCGGAUCUGCGCACCUUCCGCCGCGAGCUGAAGACUCUUUUAUUUCAUCAAGCCGGCCUCGCCUAAAUCUUCUCCCUUUUAAGUGUAAAUUUUAAAUUUUUACUGUAUUUUAAAAUAUGAGUAUUUUAAAUUAUGGGUAUCAAUUCAGCCAAAUUUAUUUAAUUCAUUUUAUUCGAUUUUAAAUUUUGUAUAUGUAUGUGUUUUAUUUCAUGGCUGUUCACCGCCCUGAGUCCUUCGGGAGUAGGGCGGUAUAGAAAUUCAAUAAAUAAAUAAAUAAAUAAAUAAAAUGAGGACCCAGAUUGUGGGGGCAAUAAGCUGACUUUGUAUAAAUAUACAAAAAUAUGAAGGCUAUUGCUUAACACAUUGUAAGCCGCCCUGUCUCCGGAGAAAGGCGGCAUAUAAAUUAAAGCAAAUAAAUAAACAAAUAAAUAAA
This is a non-coding RNA of Pantherophis guttatus, 634 nucleotides long. Lineage: Eukaryota; Metazoa; Chordata; Lepidosauria; Squamata; Colubridae. The record is from RefSeq and is a predicted model, not a curated record.